Molecule: ribosomal RNA, 274 nt
Filed under: uncultured bacterium
Lineage: Bacteria
Description: partial 16S ribosomal RNA
Rfam family: Bacterial small subunit ribosomal RNA
Source: RNAcentral
AUACGGAGGGGGCCAGCGUUGUUCGGAAUUAUUGGGCGUAAAGGGCGCGCAGGCGGCCUGGUAAGUCGGACGUGAAAUCCCGCGGCUCAACCCGGGAACUGCGCUUAAUACUGGCGAACUUGAGUCCGGGAGAGGGUGGCGGAAUUCCCAGUGUAGAGGUGAAAUUCGUAGAUAUUGGGAAGAACACCAGUGGCGAAGGCGGCCACCUGGCCCGGUACUGACGCUGAGGUGCGAAAGCGUGGGGAGCAAACAGGAUUAGAAACCCCAGUAGUCC